This 567-nucleotide ribosomal RNA is filed under the name Triticum aestivum (bread wheat). Its description in RNAcentral is "partial small subunit ribosomal RNA". The record is from RNAcentral. Lineage: Eukaryota; Viridiplantae; Streptophyta; Magnoliopsida; Poales; Poaceae.
AUGUUGUACUCCCGCAUCUUCAUCCAUUUGUACUCCUACAUCUUCAUCCAUUUGUACUCCUGCAUCAUCAUCACCCAUUUCAUCUUCUGCAUCUUCUGCAGGUGGAGUGCAGUUGAGGUCUGGGACAACCAUCUUCUGCUGCUUUCAGUUCAUUCCUCUCUUUGCUACGUGGUCAUUGUUUCAGGACAGAUCGAGUUCGUUUCCAGCGACAACAGAGAGAUGUACUCCAGCAGAAGAUCAAAUGAUCAGAGAGAGGAGAUGAACCUGGGCACCAGCCGAACCCAGCAGCAGCUCCUGGACGUGGGAGAGGAGGAGCGCCUGCGCCUGGAUGCAGUGGCCGGAGGUGGGUACGGAGGUGGAGAUGGCGGAACAGCCUGUGCUCGCCUCCACCUGGGCGCGGGUCAGGAGGAGCCCCUGUGUGUGGGCGGCAGCAGAGCACUAGCUCUACUCCAGCGGCGGCAGCGCCUGGGCAGGGGGCGGAGGUGGAGAUGGAGGGCGGAGGUGGAGAUGGAGGUGGAGGGCGGAGGUGAGGGUGGAGGUGGAGAUGGAGCUGGAGGGAGGAGGUGA